This 616-nucleotide ribosomal RNA is filed under the name uncultured bacterium. RNAcentral's name for it is "bacterial SSU rRNA". It matches the Rfam family "Bacterial small subunit ribosomal RNA", at positions 28 to 641 of the family's 1533-position model. The record is from RNAcentral.
GAUGAACGCUAGCGGCAGGCCUAAUACAUGCAAGUCGAGGGGCAACGCGGACUUCGGUCUGGCGGCGACCGGCGAAUGGGUGCGUAACGCGUAUGCAACCUACCUUCAGCAGGGGGAUAGCCCGUGGAAACAUGGAUUAAUACCCCAUAACGCAGGGGUCUCGCAUGGGACUAUUUGCUAAAGAUUUAUUGGCUGGAGAUGGGCAUGCGUCUGAUUAGUUAGUUGGUGAGGUAACGGCUCACCAAGGCGAUGAUCAGUAGGGGUUCUGAGAGGAUGAUCCCCCACACUGGUACUGAGACACGGACCAGACUCCUACGGGAGGCAGCAGUAGGGAAUAUUGGGCAAUGGGCGAGAGCCUGACCCAGCCAUGCCGCGUGCAGGAAGACGGCCUUCUGGGUUGUAAACUGCUUUUAUCAGGGAAGAAAGAGGCACUGCGGAGCCAGUUGACUGUACCUGAAGAAUAAGCACCGGCUAACUCCGUGCCAGCAGCCGCGGUAAUACGGAGGGUGCAAGCGUUGUCCGGAUUUAUUGGGUUUAAAGGGUGCGUAGGCGGAUUAUUAAGUCAGUGGUGAAAGUCUGUGGCUCAACCGCAGGAGUGCCAUUGAUACUGGUAGUC